RNAcentral lists this ribosomal RNA (506 nucleotides) under uncultured bacterium. Its description in RNAcentral is "partial 16S ribosomal RNA". It matches the Rfam family "Bacterial small subunit ribosomal RNA", at positions 29 to 523 of the family's 1533-position model. The record is from RNAcentral.
AGUGAACGCUGGCGGUAGGCCUAACACAUGCAAGUCGAACGGCAGCACAGGAGAGCUUGCUCUCUGGGUGGCGAGUGGCGGACGGGUGAGGAAUACAUCGGAAUCUACUCUGUCGUGGGGGAUAACGUAGGGAAACUUACGCUAAUACCGCAUACGACCUACGGGUGAAAGCAGGGGAUCUUCGGACCUUGCGCGAUUGAAUGAGCCGAUGGCGGAUUAGCUAGUUGGCGGGGUAAAGGCCCACCAAGGCGACGAUCCGUAGCUGGUCUGAGAGGAUGAUCAGCCACACUGGAACUGAGACACGGUCCAGACGCCGACGGGAGGCAGCAGUGGGGAAUAUUGGACAAUGGGCGCAAGCCUGAUCCAGCCAGACCGCGUGGGUGAAGAAGGCCUUCGGGUUGUAAAGUCCUUUUGUUGGGAAAGAAAUCCAGCUGGCUAAUACCCGGUUGGGAUGACGGUACCCAAAGAAUAAGCACCGGCUAACUUCGUGCCAGCCGCCGCCGUAA